UCAAAGAGGUUUGGAACCUUUGUUGUCUCCGUUUUUCUAGAGAAUAGUGAUUUUAUAGUGGUUAGUCAACCAAUUUAGGGAGUAUUAUGAAAUUUUACUAAAUUAAUUGACGAAAAUUUUAAAAGACGCCCAUGUACCAUGAAAUAGAGUUUAAUAUACAUUAAUACAAAUGCAAAACGUGUUUAGAAAUUUUAAAACAACACUAAAGAUCAUAUGCUUCAGUAUAUUGAGCAUUUACCAAAAAUU
RNAcentral lists this long non-coding RNA (246 nucleotides) under Brassica napus (rape). RNAcentral's name for it is "long non-coding RNA (BNAP_LNC000970)". Lineage: Eukaryota; Viridiplantae; Streptophyta; Magnoliopsida; Brassicales; Brassicaceae. The record is from RNAcentral.